GACGAACGCUGGCGGCGUGCUUAACACAUGCAAGUCGAACGGAAAGGCCUGCUUUCCCUUGUGGAUUGCGGGUACUCGAGUGGCUAACGGGUGAGUAACACGUGAGUGAUCUGCCCCCAACUUGGGUAUAAGCCUGGGAAACUGGGUCUAAUUCCCGAUAGGACUGCAGGGUGGUGCCUGUGGUGGAAAACGAUUUUCUAGUGGUUGGGGAUGAGCUCGCGGCCUAUCAGCUUGUUGGUGGGGUAAUGGCCUACCAAGGCGGCGACGGGUAGCCGGCCUGAGAGGGUGGACGGCGAGAGUGGGACUGAGAUACGGCAAAGACGCCUACGGGAGGCAGCAGUGGGGAAGAUAGCACAAUGGGCGGAAGACUGAGGCAGCGACGCCGAGUGGGGGAUGACGGCCUUCGGGUUGUAAACUCCUUUCGACCGAGAGGAAGCCACCUGGUUGGAAGGGUGGUGACGGUAGUGGUAGAAGAAGCACCGGCUAACUACGUG
RNAcentral lists this ribosomal RNA (494 nucleotides) under uncultured bacterium. Its description in RNAcentral is "partial 16S ribosomal RNA". It matches the Rfam family "Bacterial small subunit ribosomal RNA", at positions 28 to 507 of the family's 1533-position model. The record is from RNAcentral.